CGCGUAGGCGGCUUGUACAGUCAGACGUGAAAUUCCUGGGCUCAACCUGGGGGCUGCGUUUGAUACGUGCGGGCUUGAGUUCGGAAGAGGGUCGUGGAAUUCCCAGUGUAGAGGUGAAAUUCGUAGAUAUUGGGAAGAACACCGGUGGCGAAGGCGGCGACCUGGUCCGAUACUGACGCUGAGGCGCGAAAGCGUGGGAGCAAACAGGAUUAGAUACCCUGGUAGUCCACGCCGUAAACGAUGUGCGCUGGAUGUUGGGUGACAUAGUCAUUCAGUGUCGUAGCUAACGCGAUAAGCGCACCGCCUGGGGAGUACGGCCGCAAGGUUGAA
This 330-nucleotide ribosomal RNA is filed under the name uncultured bacterium. RNAcentral describes it as "bacterial SSU rRNA". It matches the Rfam family "Bacterial small subunit ribosomal RNA", at positions 568 to 898 of the family's 1533-position model. The record is from RNAcentral.